UGGGGAAUCUUCCGCAAUGGACGAAAGUCUGACGGAGCAACGCCGCGUGUAUGAUGAAGGUCUUCGGAUUGUAAAGUACUGUCAUUGGGGAAGAACGGUUUUCUUGAAAAGAUUGAGAAGACAUGACGGUACCCAAGGAGGAAGCCCCGGCUAACUACGUGCCAGCAGCCGCGGUAAUACGUAGGGGGCAAGCGUUGUCCGGAAUUAUUGGGCGUAAAGGGCGCGUAGGCGGGCCUUUAAGUCCGGUGUGAAAGAUCAGGGCUCAACCCUGAGAGUGCAUCGGAAACUGGAGGCCUUGAGGACAGGAGAGGAAAGUGGAAUUCCACGUGUAGCGGUGAAAUGCGUAGAUAUGUGGAGGAACACCAGUGGCGAAGGCGACUUUCUGGACUGUAACUGACGCUGAGGCGCGAAAGCGUGGGGAGCAAACAGGAUUAGAUACCCUGGUAGUCCACGCCGUAAACGAUGAGUGCUAGGUGUAGAGGGUAUCGACCCCUUCUGUGUCGCAGUUAACACAAUAAGCACUCCGCCUGGGGAGUACGGUCGCAAGAUUAAAAACUC
RNAcentral lists this ribosomal RNA (558 nucleotides) under uncultured bacterium. RNAcentral describes it as "partial 16S ribosomal RNA". It matches the Rfam family "Bacterial small subunit ribosomal RNA", at positions 355 to 902 of the family's 1533-position model. The record is from RNAcentral.